UUCCCGACCCAGGGAUUGAACACAGGUCUCCCACAUUGCAGGCAUACGCUUUAACCUCAGAGCCACCAGGGAAGCUCUAGAUACUGGAAAAGACUGAGGGCAAAAGGAGAAGGGGCCAGUCCUGGAGUCUGUUCUCUAUGGAAGGGCUAUAGUCUCUGUGUCAGGCCUUAGGGUGACCUCCAAAAGGGCUGACACCACAUACCACACCUCCCAGGACUGCUGCUGCUCCUGUCCCUACAGCAGGCCACUGCUGACCCCUGCCUCUGCAGGAGACCUACACACACUCACAGGAAGGUCUGGCUCAGUCUCCUGUGGGGGUCACUGCUCCUUUGCCUGGGUCCUGGCACGCAUAAGGUUUUGUUUGUGCCCUCCACUAUGUCUACCUUCGCCUUCUUCAUCACUGUCCCUGUUCACGGCUGAGAAGGGGGCUCAGUAGGGGAGGGGUGUGAUAACCUAAGAGCACACAGUGUGGGUGGGUGGGGGUGCCGCCUCUGCCUCCAGGACUCCCUGUGCCUGGCUCCACUCUCCCCACUGACUAAGGCCAACAGCCCUGAGUCACCCAGUGAGCAGCCGGCCAGCGCAGCCCACACCCGGAUCUGCAGAGGCUAUGGAAGCUGCUCUGGGGCCCACUUGUCAGCCUGAAGCCCCUCCCCAUUUCCCUUCCCCCAGCAGACAUGCAUUUAUCUUGUUAGACAGAACUUUGUCACAUGGCCAGCCCCCUGCAGGGGUCUGAGAAAUCAAAUGCUUAGUCAGGCACAUGGCUGCCCACACAAUCAGGAUUUGUUAGAAAUGGAGAACAGACAAUGAACAGGUAGAAGGGCCAGAGCCACAUCUUCUGGUCUAGAGGACAGGUGUGUGAUAACCUAGUCCCCAAAACCAAGACAGGACCUUCUCAGAGACCCUGGAGACUGGAGGGCUGAGUUCCUCAGUCAAGGUCCACAGCCUCCCCAGGACAGACCAGCCUCCUCUCUCUCAGCCCUGGGACGUCACCACUCCUUCCCAAAGGUGGCAGGGACCAAGAGUCCCCUUGGCCCAGAGCCCAUACCACAGGUGACAAGCAGUGCAGCAGGGGUGGGUGUGAGGGAGGUGCUGGCCAGCAGCUUGGACUGCCCCUUGACUUCCUUCAGGACUGCCAAGCCCUCCAGGCCACACACAGUCACACUGUGACACACACACACUAGUACAGUCACAGCACGGCACUCACAUGCCCUUGUAGUCCAUUUAGGUUCCCAGAACAUGGACACAUGCCCACCCAGGAUGCACAGAAUUCAGGGGCACCACUGUGCACACAAGUUGACUGUUAACCCUACUGCAGUCCGUCUCUCCCCCCUCCCCCGAGCUUCUGUCCAGCGCCCAGUGCUCUGUAGACGUCUACAGGGGAUGCCCCACAAGGCUCCCGGGCCUGUGACCACUGCCACAUUCACCAGUGCUCUGGCCGGGCCCCCAUCUCACCCGCAUGCUGACCGACCACUUCCACACCUGCCCCAAAGCCAGAGUCCCAGUCACUCACUACAUCGCCAAGCACAUGCUCCGGGAAGGGCAGUCUCCCAGGGUGGGGGAGGGUGGGCAGGGGAAGGGGUUGACCGUGAACACGACCUGUACAAAUCUCUGCACUUGAAGAACUCAGAUUUAGCCUGGAAGAGGACAACAAAGUCACUGAACUACAGUGUCUUGGGUGACAGGCCCCAGGCAUGGACCCAGGAAGGGCUGAUGGGGGAGGAGGUGGUGAUUUUCCAUGGAGUGAUCAAGAAAAGCCAGCCAAGAUGGUGACCUUGGAGCAAGGACUUGAAGGGAGGAGCGGGAAGGAGCCCCAUGUGGACGGAGCAGCAGGAACAGCAUUCUGGGCAGAUGGAACAACAGACAGAGCUCAGAGGCAGGGUGUGCCUGGCCUGUGUGAGAAUCAGCCAGGGGGUGGUGAUCAGGACGACUGCUCGCUGCCUGGUCCCAGAUGCUGUCACUUCUCGCCAGGACCCUUACUGUCAUCACUGAGUCACUGUCCUCUUAGCCUCCUCUCCCUGCUGUGACUUCCUCCCUGCCCAGCAGCCAGAGUGACCUUUCAGCAAACACAGAUGAGGCUUCAACAAACACAAUAUGGGUGUCCCCAUCUUGUGGGAUCAAGUCCGCCCCAGGCCCGUGAGGCCCUGCUGGUGGAGAAUGGAGGACAGAUGGAGGAAGUGGCCUUUGUGAUGGGACUGGCUGCCUGGAGGCCAAGUGCAGGGUGUGGUGGCAGCCCAGCUGUGGCUCCUGUGAAGUCAUCCCCUUCAUGCAUCUGCCUGAUUUCCUCUCUCAGAUCUGCUGGAAAAGCCCUGAGGAAACCACUAAUGGCCCUGCAGGGACCACAUGCGCCUCUACAUGGCCUCCCAGCUACCCUGGCCCCAGGUCUCGGCCCCAUGUGGGGACCAGAGACGCCUGGUGAAAACCCAGUGGCUUCACAUCUCUCCUGGGCUCCCCCCAGUACUUGGAGGCCUUGGUGACCUGCGUCGUGUGCACUGUCAACCCACCUCCAACCCCCAUGGCAUGCUGGGGAAGUACUCUCUGAAAAAAUAAAGUCAA
This is a long non-coding RNA of Bubalus bubalis (water buffalo), 2553 nucleotides long. RefSeq lists it as uncharacterized. The transcript has 2 exons. The record is from RefSeq and is a predicted model, not a curated record. Lineage: Eukaryota; Metazoa; Chordata; Mammalia; Artiodactyla; Bovidae.